GACGAACGCUGGCGGCGUGCUUAACACAUGCAAGUCGAACGGAAAGGCCCUGCUUUUGUGGGGUGCUCGAGUGGCGAACGGGUGAGUAACACGUGAGUAACCUGCCCUUGACUUUGGGAUAACUUCAGGAAACUGGGGCUAAUACCGGAUAGGAGCUCCUGCUGCAUGGUGGGGGUUGGAAAGUUUCGGCGGUUGGGGAUGGACUCGCGGCUUAUCAGCUUGUUGGUGGGGUAGUGGCUUACCAAGGCUUUGACGGGUAGCGGGCCUGAGAGGGUGACCGGCCACAUUGGGACUGAGAUACGGCCCAGACUCCUACGGGAGGCAGCAGGGGGGAAUAUUGCACAAUGGGCGGAAGCCUGAUGCAGCAACGCCGCGUGCGGGAUGACGGCCUUCGGGUUGUAAACCGCUUUCGCCUGUGACGAAGCGUGAGUGACGGUAAUGGGUAAAGAAGCACCGGCUAACUACGUG
RNAcentral lists this ribosomal RNA (468 nucleotides) under uncultured bacterium. RNAcentral's name for it is "partial 16S ribosomal RNA". It matches the Rfam family "Bacterial small subunit ribosomal RNA", at positions 28 to 507 of the family's 1533-position model. The record is from RNAcentral.